GUCCACGCAGUAAACGAUGAUAACUCGUUGUCGGCGAUACAAUGUCGGUGACUAAGCGAAAGCGAUAAGUUAUCCACCUGGGGAGUACGUUCGCAAGAAUGAAACUCAAAGGAAUUGACGGGGGCCCGCACAAGCGGAGGAACAUGUGGUUUAAUUCGAUGAUACGCGAGGAACCUUACCCGGGCUUGAAAGUUAGUGACGGACUUGGAAACAAGUCUUCCCUUCGGGGCACGAAACUAGGUGCUGCAUGGUUGUCGU
This 258-nucleotide ribosomal RNA is filed under the name uncultured bacterium. RNAcentral describes it as "partial 16S ribosomal RNA". It matches the Rfam family "Bacterial small subunit ribosomal RNA", at positions 793 to 1055 of the family's 1533-position model. The record is from RNAcentral.